This is a long non-coding RNA of Carassius auratus (goldfish), 1013 nucleotides long. RefSeq lists it as uncharacterized. The record is from RefSeq and is a predicted model, not a curated record. NCBI's taxonomy places the organism in Eukaryota, Metazoa, Chordata, Actinopteri, Cypriniformes, Cyprinidae. The transcript is spliced from 3 exons.
AGACGGGGGCGUAACUUGAAGUGGGCUUAACUUGAAGUAGGAGGCGUAACUUGAAGUUGUCCAAAUCACACAGAACCAUGCGAGACCUCAAAACGAUAAGUUAUUGGCAAUAUGGCGGCACAGAGUAGAAUAUUGAUUAAGUUUUAAGGGAGGCAGGGGUUUUAGGCAGGAUUUGAUGCAUGUUGUGUGUGUAGAUAUUAAUGUUAGGGGACAAUGUGAGAGUGUACGUUUUAGUAGGAAAACAUAUUAUCUGACCCACACUCCGGAACAGAAGAGGGCGGUAAUGCACCAAUAAGCUGGAUGCCAACCGCCGUUAAACUGGAAAGAAGACAAAUAUGACAGCUUGCUGUGAGAGACAACGGGACAGAUGAGACACACGUGUGUUUAUCUGCUGUAGAGUAACUGAUGAAGGAAUGCUACCAUCAAAGGAUUUGUAUCUUUUGUGGUGGAGCAGGACCUGCAAGGAAAGGUGAAAAAGAGGGAAAACCUGAAACAAAAGAAUAAUGUAAUGACUUUUUGUAUUGUGUAUGUGUAUUUUUGUAGGACAUGAACAUGUCUGUAGACUGGUGUGUGCACUGAGGAUGGAGAAGACCACAGCAUCAUCCUGGAAAUGAUCGAGAGUCACAGAUGAGACGCUCCAUCACUCCAGCUCUUACUGUCUCAUCAGGACCAGAUGCUGCUGUGGUGUCUUCAUCCUCAGUGACCUCAGAGCCAGCGAGAGCAUCUAGAGAAAGACCACAAGACACUGAGGAUGUGAUUUUGGUAAUGUUUGUUCAGCUGGUUAAUGUUUAAACAAUGAAGGCUGACUUUCAGAAGCUUCAAAAGCAUCAUCAAAAAAUGUGAUGGAGCUUUUAUCUGAAGUGAUUGACAGUGCUCUUAUUACAGGGGCCUACAAUCCCCUGAUCAACCUGGAGAAGAGAGCCUUGCUCAAGGACACACUGGUGUUCCUGUGGCUCAAGUGGUAGAGUAUUGUGUUAGCAGUGCAAGGUUGUGUGUUCGAAUACCAGGGAUCA